Long non-coding RNA from Arachis stenosperma, 1454 nucleotides. RefSeq lists it as uncharacterized. NCBI's taxonomy places the organism in Eukaryota, Viridiplantae, Streptophyta, Magnoliopsida, Fabales, Fabaceae. The record is from RefSeq and is a predicted model, not a curated record. The transcript is spliced from 8 exons.
AUUCCAACCCUAAUUGAAGAAAUAACGCGCUGCCGCAUACACUGUUUCUGUAAGGAUCUACUCCGGCGCGAUCUGCUCCAGCGACAACUCUCUCCACCAAGGAUCUCCUCAGCCGCGUUCUCCUCCGACUAGAAUCUCCUCACCGUUCACCGCCAUCGUUCAUCUCCUCGCCGCUGCCUUCAAUGAGCUUCUACGAUCUUGUUCUGGCUUCGAUCUAAAGGUUAGCCAUCGCCACUCAUCUCCUUUGCUGCUUCGUUUAUCACCUCGCCGCCGCAAGCAACAUUGUUGCUGCUUUAGCGAGCUUCGACAAAUCUCUUCACUUUUGUGAUUACGUCCUUGCUCUCACCGUCGAGAACUUCCUCGAGCGCCACCUCCAGACUCUCGUCUUCAAUCCCAGCAUGGCCAAGUCAAUCCACCACGCCAGGUUCUGAUCCGCCAGUGCCACAUUAGAACUUGCUAAAAAAGUUCCACAAGGGUCAUCCAAAAGUCAGAACUCAGAUUAGCAUUGCUGUGGCUGCAUUGGCUGUGCAUGUGCCUGCUGAAGAUUGGGGAGAUGGUGGUAUAGUGAAAUGGCUUAGGGACGAGAUGGAUUCUCAUCCGGAAUAUAUACCAGGAUUCUUGGAGUUACUAACAUUUUUGCCAGAGGUCAUAGUAUGAUAUGUGUAAUUAUGUGUCAUCUCUUCAUUUUAUUAAUGAGACAAAUGCCUAAAGUUUGAGUUACUAAGUGACAAGUUGUUAUAAUUUUCAAAGUUGCUGCCUUGUCGGAUAGUAUUUUUUUCUUGGUUAUCAUUCAGGUUCUUGAAGCGUUUGCUUUGUGGCUUCGCCUAAAGCAUGGGAUUCCCGGAUCUGUUCUCAGUACCCAUCCAUUAGUUCUUACAGCAUUAUCAAGCUUGAAUUCUGAGCUUCUUUCUGAGGCAUCUGUAAAUGCCAAAACAGGAAAUUAAAGGGGAUCUUGAUCAUGGUAAGAGGGUAUUGCAGUGCUCUUAACAAAAUCUAACCUGAUGCCAUACCCAAGUCAAGGAUGUGGUCUUGAAAUUGAACCCGCUUCUCACAAAAGAACAAGCUAUUGGUUUCCGUUGCUGCUGGAGUCAAGCUCCAUGAUCUUCAGGUUUCUCAAUGUAUUAGUUGGUUUUGGACUAUUUGACAGAGAAUUCCUUGUGGUUGGGAGCUGAGUUGAAAUUGGAAUUCCCAUGCUAAUACUGUUUAUAGCCUUAUCUCAGAGAUUGGAUCAGGAGAUUGAGAUUCCAUCACCAAAAGAGUUAGGAAGUAGAUUUUCUGGAGCAAGCAACAAGGAAGCAUGACCUUAUUUGAUAUGUUUAGACGUAUAUUAAGGAGUAUAUUAAGGAUUAUAUGUUAAGACGUAUUAUUAAAAAAUGUUACUUUGAUACUUUAUAUUUGGAUUAUGACUUUUGGAUCAUGUAUGAAUAAAAAAUCAUGUUAUGAUGUUUGAUUUA